AUCAGAUGAGGUUUACCCAUGUUUGGAUUCUAUAUAGUUUUAUGUCCUGUUUCGGUUCAAUAUUUGUUGUGUGUGAUGUCUUCCGAACUUAGCUGAAUUUUUGUUAAACUGUAAUGACGACCAGCUCAGUCUGUUUGUGAAUUUAAUUAAAAUUGCAUGAAAAUUGUGAUGUGAAAUUGUUUCAGGAACGCAAUCUGGCAUAAACAUGUGAAAUCGAUGAUCACUGAUUCUUUUGCUAUUGCUCGUUUUAGUGGGGGUUUUUUCAUUCAUUUGUAGUCC
RNAcentral lists this long non-coding RNA (279 nucleotides) under Hordeum vulgare. RNAcentral's name for it is "long non-coding RNA (HVUL_LNC013495)". The record is from RNAcentral. Lineage: Eukaryota; Viridiplantae; Streptophyta; Magnoliopsida; Poales; Poaceae.